GAUGAACGCUGGCGGCGCGCCUAAUACAUGCAAGUCGAGCGAACGGACGAGAAGCUUGCUUCUCUGAUGUUAGCGGAGGACGGGUGAGUAACACGUGGAUAACCUACCUAUAAGACUGGGAUAACUUCGGGAAACCGGAGCUAAUACCGGAUAAUAUUUUGAACCGCAUGGUUCAAAAGUGAAAGACGGUCUUGCUGUCACUUAUAGAUGGAUCCGCGCUGCAUUAGCUAGUUGGUAAGGUAACGGCUUACCAAGGCAACGAUGCAUAGCCGACCUGAGAGGGUGAUCGGCCACACUGGAACUGAGACACGGUCCAGACUCCUACGGGAGGCAGCAGUAGGGAAUCUUCCGCAAUGGGCGAAAGCCUGACGGAGCAACGCCGCGUGAGUGAUGAAGGUCUUCGGAUCGUAAAACUCUGUUAUUAGGGAAGAACAUAUGUGUAAGUAACUGUGCACAUCUUGACGGUACCUAAUCAGAAAGCCACGGCUAACUACGUG
This 497-nucleotide ribosomal RNA is filed under the name uncultured bacterium. Its description in RNAcentral is "partial 16S ribosomal RNA". It matches the Rfam family "Bacterial small subunit ribosomal RNA", at positions 28 to 507 of the family's 1533-position model. The record is from RNAcentral.